CUCUUCCUCCUCUCCUCCACUAGAGGGAGACUGAACUCUAUACCUAAACACAGACACAAGACAAAUGAAGAGCAGGUGAUGUAAGGUGGAGGAAGUAUUCAGAAACGGAAAGUACUUAAUUCAAAUGGUAACCAAACUGCUGGAGGGGUGUUGGCGUCUGACUGAGAGCAGCUUUCGGGCUGAGCUCCAGCGAGGGGAACGAGAGUCACAAUAAUCCAACUUGUACCUGUGUGUCAUGGACAGAGAGUGUGCCGAGUGUGGACCAAAGUGACAUUUACAGGCUCUGCUGCACUGCUGCGUCUUGAGCCCACGGAGUGCUCUUCCCAGUGAAGCUCCUCUCAGCAUUGAUGCGGGGGAACAGAGAGAUCCAGGGCAGGGAGGGGUGCUGCCAGUACGCCAGACUCUGCUGGAAGGCACAACGAAGCUCUGAGCAGGACUUGGGAUCCUGCAUGGUGGAACAGCGAGGAUUCACAGAGCUCGUUUGGAUGACCCUUCAUGCAUUUGGAGCAGCAGUCACCUUUACCUGAGCUUCCACAUGUCACACAGUUGAAAAUACACUCUGGGCUUUUCCUGAUCCUGCCUGGAUGUGCACUACUGUCCUCGCUGAUGCCUGAACAGCCCCCCGAGGAGGCAGCAGCAUGAUGGACAUACAGCUCAGAGGGACGACAGGAGGGGGGGACACAUGUGGCCCACCUCCCUGUAACGAGGACUAACGCUGCUGACGAUCCUCCACUGACGACUCGCCGAGGGUUACGACACGUUGUGAGUUUGACGUUUAU
Molecule: long non-coding RNA, 779 nt
Organism: Scatophagus argus
Lineage: Eukaryota; Metazoa; Chordata; Actinopteri; Scatophagidae
Exons: 5
Source: RefSeq, a predicted model, not a curated record